Non-coding RNA from Pelobates cultripes (western spadefoot toad), 209 nucleotides. The record is from the annotation of a GenBank genome assembly. Lineage: Eukaryota; Metazoa; Chordata; Amphibia; Anura; Pelobatidae.
CCCGUCUGAUUUCCUGGGUCCUCAAGUAGCAGCCCCUAGACCUUCGCAGAUGGAUGGCUUGGUUGGUGGGUCUGCCGAUGCAUGUUCACUGGGCUUGCUAUCCUCUUUACAACACAUUAUUGACUCUUGGGGCCUAAAGGGUACUCCUCAGUCAAAUGCGGGACAGGUCUGGGCGGAGGAAGGGACGUCGAGAGAGCACUGGGUCUGGG